This 248-nucleotide ribosomal RNA is filed under the name uncultured bacterium. Its description in RNAcentral is "partial 16S ribosomal RNA". It matches the Rfam family "Bacterial small subunit ribosomal RNA", at positions 524 to 771 of the family's 1533-position model. The record is from RNAcentral.
GACGGAGGAUGCAAGUGUUAUCCGGAAUCACUGGGCGUAAAGGGUCUGUAGGUGGUUUUUUAAGUCUGCUGUUAAAGCUUGAAGCUCAACUUCAAAAAUGCAUCGGAAACUAGAAGACUUGAGUAUGGUAGGGGUAGAGGGAAUUUCCAGUGAAGUGGUGAAAUGCGUAGAUAUUGGAAAGACCACCAAAGGCGAAGGCACUCUACUGGGCCACAACUGACACUGAGAGACGAAAGCUAGGGGAGCGA